Long non-coding RNA from Pezoporus occidentalis (night parrot), 1507 nucleotides. RefSeq lists it as uncharacterized. The transcript is spliced from 6 exons. Lineage: Eukaryota; Metazoa; Chordata; Aves; Psittaciformes; Psittacidae. The record is from RefSeq and is a predicted model, not a curated record.
CCUACAUAUGUGAGACCCAGACUGAACUCACAGAGCUGGCCAGUUUACCCCCCUUUUCCUCCCAGACAGCCUACUUUCAUCACAGUGCACAACUGAAAUUGGAGACCACUUGGGUUUCCUUACUUUGAAAAAGCUCAGAAAGAACCUUUGCAAGUCCUGAUGAAAGGCUGCAGAGAGGAGCUGAAAUUAAGUCAUCAGAGUUCACAAUUUGUCUUGGAUAAGAGCCUAAUUCAGUUUAUAAUGCAAAGCCUAUGCUGCAGUUCCAGCACCAGAUUUGCAGUGUCGAGGACAGAGUAACUUGAAGGAAGGAAAAUUCAAAAGGCAGUUGAUUCAAAGAUCCUCCUAAACUGAGCAAGAACGCAGAAGAGCAUAUGCCUUCAAAAGCAACAUUUGCUGAGACAGCAGGAAUCAAAUUCUUCCAGAAAUUAAAUGCUCCUUAGCCCCCAGUACAGUUAUUGUCUCAUAGCCCUAGCACUAGUCUCCAUUGGAAGCUGAUGGCUUGCCAGAAGAAUUUGUUACUGCAACAUGAUGCUAUAGUCUCCAGUGCUGAUUCACCCUGACAGAGACCUGCAGAAUCAGUGGAUAAUUUGAGCCAUGACCACAGAAGACAGUGAAGCCUGUGGACCACAUCAAGAGUGCUUCAGAUCAGCAUCUGAGCCUCCUGAAAAAUUAAGGAUGUAACAUCUGCAUGGUGUCAAUCCCAUCAAAGCAACACUGGAAAACUGGGUAUCCAGCAGGGAAUGUCAAAAGAGUAGCUAUAGGAAACCAUUAUGUGUUCCCUACCAUGCCUGCUCACUUAGUGAAAUACUCCAGGAAAAUCCAUGCUGCAAGGAACCUGGAGCCAUUAAUGUUUAUUAAGUCAUGGCUGGUGCUCAAUGCUGACCACAGAAAUAAAGCCAUGAAUCAAAGAAAUCGCCCAUAUAUUACAGCUGGCCCUUAUGGUUUGUUUUUUUCUUGGCCCUGUGUUUCUGUUCUCUGUCUGCUGACCAAUGGUGUUUUUUUAAAAAGAGAAACUAACAUUUAGAAAUGGAACAGUCCAGCUAUCUGAUUGCUUUUUGGAUAAUCCCUUUGAUACGUUGUCACUAAAGAAAAAAGUAGGGUGUAUGGGCUGUAAAUAAAGACAUUUCUUUUGACACAUUGCCAUGUUUGGGAUUUUUUUUUAUCUGUGGAAUUUGCUUUUCCUUUGUCAAUGAAUCCUUACUUCUGUCAGUUUGGGCUGUCUUCUACUGCAAGUGAAUUGCGUUUUAUCCCAACAAAUUUUUAACUGGUAGAUCUAAUCUGAAAAGUCACAGUUUGAGCUAGGGACCAUUUGCUUCUGAAUUGCCACAGAAAUGACAGGUAGUAUUUCUAAACUGAGAAAAAAAUAUUAAAAGCUUGAAAAAUAUUAAGCCUCAGGCUACUUGUACUUUAUGUAUUUGGUAGUAAAAGGAAAAGACUUUAGGGGAUGCUUCUUUCAGCUUUUGCUGCAGACUGACAGUUAAAAAGGGAAAUAAACUAGAAAUAGACU